AGAGUUUGAUCAUGGCUCAGGAUGAACGCUGGCGGCGUGCCUAAUACAUGCAAGUCGAACGAGCCCACGCAAGUGGGCGAGUGGCGAACGGGUGAGUAACGCGUUGGUGACCUGCCCCCGAGUGUGGGAUACCAGCCCGAAAGGGCUGCUAAUACCGCAUGUCCUCGGUCGGAUUAGAAGCGAUCGAGGAAAGGCCCGCAAGGGUCGCUGGGGGAGGGGCCUGCGUCCCAUCAGCUGGUUGGUAGGGUAACGGCCUACCAAGGCGAUGACGGGUAGGGGACCUGAGAGGGUGGCCCCCCACAAUGGAACUGAAACACGGUCCAUACACCUACGGGUGGCAGCAGUAGGGAAUAUUGCAUAAUGGGCGCAAGCCCGAUGCAGCAACGCCGCGUGCGCGAUGAAGGCCUUCGGGUCGUAAAGCGCUUUUCGGAGGGAUGAGGAAGGACAGUACCUUCGGAAGAAGUCUCGGCUAACUACGUGCCAGCAGCCGCGGUAAAACGUAGGAGGCAAGCGUUAUCCGGAUUUACUGGGCGUAAAGCGCGUGCAGGCGGCAGGGCAAGUUGGAUGUGAAAGCUCCCGGCUCAACUGGGAGAGGUCGUUCAAGACUGCCCGGCUGGAGGAUGGUAGAGGGAGGUGGAAUUCCGGGUGUAGUGGUGAAAUGCGUAGAUAUCCGGAGGAACACCAGUGGCGAAAGCGGCCUCCUGGACCAAUCCUGACGCUCAGACGCGAAAGCUAGGGUAGCAAACGGGAUUAGAUACCCCAGUAGUCC
RNAcentral lists this ribosomal RNA (769 nucleotides) under uncultured bacterium. RNAcentral describes it as "bacterial SSU rRNA". It matches the Rfam family "Bacterial small subunit ribosomal RNA", at positions 8 to 796 of the family's 1533-position model. The record is from RNAcentral.